Long non-coding RNA from Carassius gibelio (silver crucian carp), 882 nucleotides. RefSeq lists it as uncharacterized. The transcript is spliced from 2 exons. The record is from RefSeq and is a predicted model, not a curated record. Lineage: Eukaryota; Metazoa; Chordata; Actinopteri; Cypriniformes; Cyprinidae.
UUACGACCACGGAUGAUCCGCAUAAAAUAUCGAUAUAUAUCAUAUCUUGUUAGAUCGCAGAAGUAGCUAAAAAGAAAUUUGCAUCUAAAGCCUUGGAGGCCUAAACCACACUUCAGCAGCAGCAGGGCCAUCUCACUCCGCCCCCCGGUCAACAUUAGCACUGCUCUAAAGUGCGGCAGGUGCGUGGAGAGAUCAGCACCUUUACAGCUGCGGGAAGAGGACAGGGGGCAUGAUUUUUGUCGAGUAUAAAAACCCGUCACUGGCCAGGCUGAUUCAUAGGACCUGCAGGUACGGAAACGAGCGUGUGGACUGAGGCCUUCCACAGUGCAACCUGGAUGUGAAACGACAGAGGUGAGCAAGACAGGUAAUGGGCAGGGAAAACACCUGAAAAAUGAGAUGAACGAAAAAAUACCGAUUCACAUUUUUGACAGUAUUUUCUACAUUAACUUUGGAGUUUAUCACAUUGCACCCCCAGAAUUACGAUGGAUAAACUGCAUUUGCUUUACGUUGAGCCACACGCACAAUACAUGUGGAUUCAGUUUUGUUCGUUCGGCUCGCGUUAAGCAAGUGCAGAACUUCUCCAGUGCCAAACAUCUGGGACAUUUUGGGAUUAGAAGCAAGAGUAACUGCUGUGCUCUUUUGUUUGGAAUUGUUUGUUUUUUUAAUGGAAAAAAAAAAUGUAUCAAAAUGUGAUGUGAGAUUCUUUAACAACCGAAUGAGCCAUAACUGAUAAUUUGCCUUCUGCAAUGGUCAUGAUUUACAAUGUCGGCUGUUAUCCAACAUCAUGUUUGUUGUGAUAUAUACUGUGCCAUUUAUUAUUGUGGGUGAAGUUCUCAUGCUGCAGUGAUGUAAUGGCAAAAUAAAGUUCUUGUUAACUCCUCA